This 66-nucleotide transfer RNA is filed under the name Scylla serrata (giant mud crab). RNAcentral's name for it is "tRNA-Phe". The record is from RNAcentral. Lineage: Eukaryota; Metazoa; Arthropoda; Malacostraca; Decapoda; Portunidae.
AUUUAUAUAAUUCAAAAAGAAUAUUGCAUUGAAGCUGCAAAAGUAGAUGAAAAGAUCUUGUAAGUA